AGAGCCUAAUGGUUUGUUAAGUGUUGAGCUCUAUAAUAUCAUGCAUAAAACUUAUUAGGCAUCUAUAGGAUUAUAAUCUUGAUUACCUGAAUAAAAACCCUAAGUGUAGCUACUUUCAUCUAAGUGCCAAAACCCCAAUCAAAUCAAUCGAGCAACUGCCUUGCUCACAAACUUGCAACUUUCUAUUUAAUCAUAAUCAACCUAGCUUAAUCAAUCUGAUUAGAUUUAUUAGGUUCCCUAGCUUCCAGUGAAUUCGAUCCCUAAGUACUACAACUGAAACUCUUAUUCGAGAGAGUAAUUCACUAGUUAGGGUAAUUUGAGUGAUAUCAUUGUCAUAUUCAUAUUCAUCUUGAUCCAAAGUGUAAGAUAUUGUUUAGAUCUUAAAACAAGUAAGAAGUAAAAAACUUAGUUUUAUAUGGAAAAUACAAACUAA
RNAcentral lists this long non-coding RNA (433 nucleotides) under Brassica napus (rape). RNAcentral describes it as "long non-coding RNA (BNAP_LNC015379)". Lineage: Eukaryota; Viridiplantae; Streptophyta; Magnoliopsida; Brassicales; Brassicaceae. The record is from RNAcentral.